This 369-nucleotide ribosomal RNA is filed under the name uncultured bacterium. RNAcentral's name for it is "bacterial SSU rRNA". It matches the Rfam family "Bacterial small subunit ribosomal RNA", at positions 525 to 896 of the family's 1533-position model. The record is from RNAcentral.
ACGUAGGGGGCGAGCGUUGUUCGGAAUUACUGGGCGUAAAGGGCAUGUAGGCGGUCUUGUAAGCCUGACGUGAAAGGCUAUGGCUCAACCAUGGCACUGCGUUGGGAACUGCGAGACUAGAAUCAUGGAGAGGGAGCUGGAAUUCCAGGUGUAGGGGUGAAAUCUGUAGAUAUCUGGAAGAACACCAGUGGCGAAGGCGAGCUCCUGGCCAAUGAUUGACGCUGAGGUGCGAAAGUGUGGGGAUCAAACAGGAUUAGAGACCCUGGUAGUCCACACUGUCAACGAUGUGCACUAGGUGCCGGGGCGGACGCUUCGGUGCCGGAGCUAACGCGGUAAGUGCACCGCCUGGGGAGUAUGCUCGCAAGGGUG